RNAcentral lists this ribosomal RNA (627 nucleotides) under Acidovorax sp. 20/7G5. RNAcentral's name for it is "bacterial SSU rRNA". It matches the Rfam family "Bacterial small subunit ribosomal RNA", at positions 9 to 632 of the family's 1533-position model. Lineage: Bacteria; Pseudomonadati; Pseudomonadota; Betaproteobacteria; Burkholderiales; Comamonadaceae. The record is from RNAcentral.
GAGUUUGAUCAUGGCUCAGAUUGAACGCUGGCGGCAUGCCUUACACAUGCAAGUCGAACGGUAACAGGUCUUCGGAUGCUGACGAGUGGCGAACGGGUGAGUAAUACAUCGGAACGUGCCCGAUCGUGGGGGAUAACGAAGCGAAAGCUUUGCUAAUACCGCAUAAGAUCUACGGAUGAAAGCAGGGGACCGCAAGGCCUUGCGCGAACGGAGCGGCCGAUGGCAGAUUAGGUAGUUGGUGGGAUAAAAGCUUACCAAGCCGACGAUCUGUAGCUGGUCUGAGAGGACGACCAGCCACACUGGGACUGAGACACGGCCCAGACUCCUACGGGAGGCAGCAGUGGGGAAUUUUGGACAAUGGGCGAAAGCCUGAUCCAGCCAUGCCGCGUGCAGGAUGAAGGCCUUCGGGUUGUAAACUGCUUUUGUACGGAACGAAAAGACUCUGGUUAAUACCUGGGGUCCAUGACGGUACCGUAAGAAUAAGCACCGGCUAACUACGUGCCAGCAGCCGCGGUAAUACGUAGGGUGCAAGCGUUAAUCGGAAUUACUGGGGCGUAAAGCGUGCGCAGGGCGGUUAUAUAAGACAGAUGUGAAAUCCCCGCUCAACCUGGGGAACUGCAUUUGUGA